CGAACCGUGCGAACGUUGUUCGGAUUCACUGGGCUUAAAGGGCGCGUAGGCGGCCGCUCAAGUCGGGGGUGAAAUCUUUCAGCUUAACUGGAAAAUAGCCUCCGAUACUGGGCGGCUCGAGGGAGAUAGGGGUGCGCGGAACUUCCGGUGGAGCGGUGAAAUGCGUAGAUAUCGGAAGGAACGCCGGUGGCGAAAGCGGCGCACUGGAUCUCCACUGACGCUGAGGCGCGAAAGCCAGGGGAGCAAACGGG
This 251-nucleotide ribosomal RNA is filed under the name uncultured bacterium. RNAcentral's name for it is "partial 16S ribosomal RNA". It matches the Rfam family "Bacterial small subunit ribosomal RNA", at positions 526 to 776 of the family's 1533-position model. The record is from RNAcentral.